AUGGCGACCAAUGAUUUGUGGGCCGGGAUUGGAUCAGCUCUGGCGUUUUUAAUUACCCUCACCACCAUGGCAAUGAACCAAUCCAGGAUCAAAUUGUUGAUCAACAAGAUCAGCGCCUACCUCAACCCAUACAUACAAAUCACCAUCCCUGAGUACGGCGCCGAGAGUUUCAAACGCAGCGACUUCUUCGUUGCGAUUGAGGCCUACCUCUCCAACUUGUGUCAUCAAGAUGGUCGGGUGCGCAAGCUGAAGGCCGAGCUCGAGAGCGACAUGCAGAAGCCCCAAGUUUCAGUUGACGACGAUCAAGAGAUCGUUGAUACCUUCAAAGGUGCCACGCUCUGGUGGUACGCCGACACAGAGCUCCCGAAGACCACUGUCAUCACCUACCGCGCUGGUGAUGAGAAGCGCCGCUUCUACCGAGUUGCCUUCCAUAAAAGGUUCCACAAACACAUCGUGAAUGACUACCUGCCCUAUGUCAUAAAAAAUGGCCGUGACGUCAUCGCCAAGAACCGCCAGCACCGCCUCUUCACCAACAACGCAAGCAGCCAAUGGAGCUCCUACAACAGAGAAAAGAGCCUCUGGAGCCACGUGGAGUUCCGGCACCCGGCGAAGUUUGACAUGCUCGCUAUGGACCCCGCCAAAAAGGACGAGAUCAAGGAUGAUCUCAAUGCCUUCAAGAUGGGAAAGGAUUACUAUGCCAAGGUCGGCAAGGCAUGGAAGCGUGGAUACCUGCUGUUUGGACCCCCAGGCACCGGUAAGUCCAUGAUGAUCGCCGCCAUGGCCAACUUUAUGGACUACGACAUCUAUGACAUGGAGCUCACGGCGGUGAAGAACAACACGGAGCUGCGGAAGCUCUUCAUCGAGACCAAGGGAAAGUCCAUCAUCGUCCUCGAGGACAUUGACUGCUCCGUCGACCUCACCGGCAAGCGCACCGACAAGAAGAAGGCCCGUAAGAAGUCUGGCGACCAGAGCGACAUGGCGACCAUGCGACAGAAAGAGGAUGAGAAGAAGGACGACGAAGACAGCAAGCUGACCCUUUCUGGGGUGCUCAACUUCAUUGACGGGCUAUGGUCGGCGUGCGGCGAAGAGCGCAUCAUCAUCUUCACCACCAACUACAAGGACAAGCUGGACGAAGCGCUGAUCCGGCCAGGCAGGAUGGACAUGCACAUCGAGAUGUCCUACUGUCGCUACGAGGCAUUCAAGGUGCUGGCCCAUAACUACCUGGACAUCAGCGAGUAUCAGUUUUUCGAGCUGUUCGGUGAGAUACACCGGCUGCUGGAUCAGGUUGACAUGUCCCCGGCGGACGUUGCCGAGCACCUGAUACGAACGGAGAAGAAGGACGCCGGCGCGUGCUUGCAGGUUCUCAUCCAAGAUCUGAAAAUUUUAAAAGCCAAGAAGAACUCGGCAGCAGAUUGUCAUCCACAGGAUCCAAUUUCAAUAGUGGUACCAGAUUUAAACCCGACGGUGCUGCCGGAUUUAAACCCGACAGUGAUCAAUAUAUUUGAGGUAGCAAGGGACAGUACAUUGGAAUCAUAA
Molecule: ribosomal RNA, 1536 nt
Filed under: Triticum aestivum (bread wheat)
Lineage: Eukaryota; Viridiplantae; Streptophyta; Magnoliopsida; Poales; Poaceae
Description: partial small subunit ribosomal RNA
Source: RNAcentral